CACGGAGGGUGCGAGCGUUGUCCGGAAUCACUGGGCGUAAAGGGCGCGUAGGCGGCGCGGAUAGUCGGCGGUGAAAGCCCGGAGCUCAACUCCGGGUCGGCCGUCGAUACUUCCGGGCUUGAGCACUGUAGAGGCAGAUGGAAUUCCGGGUGUAGCGGUGGAAUGCGUAGAGAUCCGGAAGAACACCGGUGGCGAAGGCGGUCUGCUGGGCAGUUGCUGACGCUGAUGCGCGACAGCGUGGGGGAGCAAACGAGGAUUAGAAAACCCGGGGUAGUUC
Molecule: ribosomal RNA, 277 nt
Filed under: uncultured bacterium
Lineage: Bacteria
Description: partial 16S ribosomal RNA
Rfam family: Bacterial small subunit ribosomal RNA
Source: RNAcentral